This is a non-coding RNA of Arachis ipaensis, 777 nucleotides long. The record is from RefSeq and is a predicted model, not a curated record. NCBI's taxonomy places the organism in Eukaryota, Viridiplantae, Streptophyta, Magnoliopsida, Fabales, Fabaceae.
CCCUCCACGAUUGCAGCUCUCGAUCGCAGUGCUCUCCUCCACGGGCGACGGCGCGUGCUUCCUUCCACGGGCGUUGGCGCAAUACUCUCCUCCACGGGCGUCGGUGCGGUCAUCUUUUCCAUGGACGCUGCUCCAUGGCGACGGCGCGGUGCGCUCCUUGUUUUGUGCCGAACCACCACCGUCGAGAAAUCCCUCUCCCUUCUCUUCUCAUUCUUCCUCUCCUUCCCUUGUCUCGCCUCCUCCUCUUCGCGAGCUCUGACAACGCUACACGCUGCUGUAACCAUCCUCCUCCUCCUCUGCGUAUUGGUAAGACAUGUAGCAGGGUGGCAAGAAGUUGCUGUCCAUGGCCCAAUUCAAAAUCGAACUCAAAUCCAAGCCCCAAUCCUUUGAGAAGAAGGCUUGAAUCCUAGGGAGAUGCUUAUGUAAUAUGUGGUGGAGUUUGGAAAUUCUGGCCGCUAGAGCUUAUGGCUUGCCUCAAUUUCGACUGUGAGUGUUUUUAUGGGGUGCUAAAUCUUCUGAUAUAAAUACAGUUGCACAUGAUGAGGGUCACCAUAUUAUAUUGAAAAAAAACAACUUAUAUUGGAAGAUGCUAUUUCUGAUCUUUCUCUGGUAUAUUUUCAUUUUUUAUUCAUCCUUUUAUUGCCUUUAUGUUUUAUGAUAAUUUGGUUGUUGAUGAAUAUUAUUAUCCUAUUCAAAUUGAGCAUGAUAAAAGUCAUGAUGUUCAUUUGGUCCUUAUAUUAUGUUAAUUUACACUAUAUCGUUGUUUUCUUUAGUAUU